This 108-nucleotide small nuclear RNA is filed under the name Poecilia reticulata (guppy). RNAcentral's name for it is "U5 spliceosomal RNA (ENSPREG00000015163.1)". It matches the Rfam family "U5 spliceosomal RNA". From Rfam's summary of the family: U5 RNA is a component of both types of known spliceosome. The precise function of this molecule is unknown, though it is known that the 5' loop is required for splice site selection and p220 binding, and that both the 3' stem-loop and the Sm site are important for Sm protein binding and cap methylation. Lineage: Eukaryota; Metazoa; Chordata; Actinopteri; Cyprinodontiformes; Poeciliidae. The record is from RNAcentral.
CACUCUUGUUUAUCUUCAUAUUGUAUAAAUCUUUUGCCUUUGAUUUCCGUGGAGAGGAACAGCAAGAGUUUAACCCAAUUGUUUAAUACCCUGCAGAUUAGUGGGGUG